GACAGAGGCCUCAAGCGUUAGGCGGAAUCACUGGGCUUAAAGCGUGUGUAGGCGGAUCGUUAAGUGCCUUGUGAAAUCCCACGGCUUAACUGUGGAACGGCUGGGCAUACUGGCGGUCUUGAGCCAUCUAGGGGCGACUGGAACAAACGGUGGAGCGGUGAAAUGCGUAGAUAUCUGGAGGAACACCGGUGGCGAAGGCGGCAUCCUGGACCAAUUCUGACGCUGAUGAGCGAAAGCCAGGGGAGCAAACGGG
RNAcentral lists this ribosomal RNA (253 nucleotides) under uncultured bacterium. Its description in RNAcentral is "partial 16S ribosomal RNA". It matches the Rfam family "Bacterial small subunit ribosomal RNA", at positions 524 to 776 of the family's 1533-position model. The record is from RNAcentral.